Acanthochromis polyacanthus (spiny chromis) is the source of this 1313-nucleotide long non-coding RNA. RefSeq lists it as uncharacterized. The record is from RefSeq and is a predicted model, not a curated record. Lineage: Eukaryota; Metazoa; Chordata; Actinopteri; Pomacentridae. The transcript is spliced from 3 exons.
UAGAGAGGGUAUCUGCCUCCUGAACCCAAACUGGGAGCUGGUUCUACAGGAGAGGCACCUGAUAACUGAAGGCUCUGCCUCCCAUUCUACUUUUAGAAAUUCUAGGACCAACAAGUAAGCCUCCAGUCUGAGAGUGAAGAGAUCUGCUAAGAUAAUAUGGUACUAUCAGGUCUUUAAGAUAUGAUGAAGAUUGGUUGUUAAGAGCUUUAUAUGUCAGAAAAAGGAUUUUGAGUGGAGAUGUUUCUCACAGGUAGACUGGCUGGAUUUUGCAGAUGUUUGUGUUUCCUUUCUAUGCCUGUGUGUGGGGGUUAAACACAUUCUAGCAUGUUGAAGUUUAACAGCGCUCUCCUGUGGUUGGUCUCCUCCUAGUUUCACUUCAUGUGCUCUUGUACUCCUGCUCCUUUCACUGAUCCAACAUCCAGGUUUUUCAACCACCUUGUUCUUUCCAUGUUUAUAAACAGAGGGUAGAGAUAAAAAAAAAUCUGAGGUGGGCAAACCAGCUCCACUGCAGACACCACAUGUUCUUGAAGUUCAGGGAAAUGCCUCCAUUAACAGGCCAUUGAAACCUCUAAUAAAUUAAAUAAAAUCCGGGUAAGAAGAGAAUUAAAUCAUCAUUUCCGAACAAUUGCUGGAUGUAAAACCUCAAAACACAACUGAUCCAAAACUCCAGUUUCCUGAUGUGAUGAUGUGAUGACAUCAGCUGCAGCCUAUCCACCGCGGGGAGCAGAUGUGGCGUUCAGGGACCAGAGCAUGAGUCCCUGUCGUGUGCUGUCAACUUGACUUCUCAACUGCAACAAAAUUGGUUCUUGCCAUAACAUGGAUUCCAACAGUUGUCAAAUAGGGCUGUCAACUGUGUACCAACCUGACUUAUGCACAACACAACUGAUGGUCCCAAUCCCAUUAAGGGCAAGAAGUUCCACAAAGUUACCUUGACAAGGCACACCUGUAACCAUUUCGGGUGACUACCUCAUGAACCUCAUUAAGAGAAUGCCAAGAGUGUGCAAAGCAGUAAUUAGAGCAAAGGGUGGCUAUUUUGAAGAAAAUAAAAUAAAAUAAAAAAACAUGUUUUGAUUUAUUUCACACCGUUUUUUUACUACAUACUUCCAUGUGUUAAUUCAUAGUUUUGAUGCCUUCAGUGAGAAUGUACAAUGUAAAUAGUCAUGAAAAUAAAUAAAGACCAUUAAGUGAGAAGGUGUUCAAACUUUUGACUGGUAUUGUAUGUAUGUAAUGAAAUUUUCGGUUUUAGUUUAUAUAAUUUAAGUGUGAUUCUGUGACAAUUACAUGAAAUUAAAGUGACACAAAGAAAUCCUUGA